RNAcentral lists this long non-coding RNA (317 nucleotides) under Anser brachyrhynchus (Pink-footed goose). Its description in RNAcentral is "lncRNA (ENSABRG00000009665.1)". Lineage: Eukaryota; Metazoa; Chordata; Aves; Anseriformes; Anatidae. The record is from RNAcentral.
CUUGUUUCAAACAACUAUGAAAGAAUUUAGCAUUUAUGACGUCAGUGGGGUGGCAUGGGCGUGGAGUUGCAUGCGAGCAGAGAGAAGCUGGGCUCUUCUCUGCACCAGUGGUUUUGUGAAGGAGUCUUUCACUGAUGGAGGUUUAUUCAAGCCCACCUAAACACAUCAAAUUCCAUAGGAACCUUUCAAAAGUUGAUCUGAGAGUACUUGGAAAGGCUAGUCCGUCACCUUUUCCUGUGCAUGGGACACAGCUGGGAUCACCACAGAUCCAGCUGAGCACCCAGCACUCCCACACAGCCUGUGAUGCCAGGCUCUGA